Molecule: ribosomal RNA, 442 nt
Filed under: uncultured bacterium
Lineage: Bacteria
Description: partial 16S ribosomal RNA
Rfam family: Bacterial small subunit ribosomal RNA
Source: RNAcentral
CCUACGGGGGGCAGCAGUGGGGAAUAUUGGGCAAUGGGCGCAAGCCCGACCCAGCGACGCCGCGUGAGGGAAGACGGUCUUCGGAUUGUAAACCUCUUUCAGCAGGGAAGACAAAAGGACGGUACCUGCAGAAGAAGCCACGGCUAACUACGUGCCAGCAGCCGCGGUAAUACGUAGGUGGCAAGCGUUAUCCGGAAUUACUGGGUGUAAAGGGUGUGUAGGCGGGUUUGCAAGUCAGAUGUGAAAAUUAUGGGCUCAACGUGGGAACUGCCUUUGAAACUGGCAAACUGGAGUGUGUGAGAGGAUAGUGGAAUUCCAGGUGUAGGAGUGAAAUCCGUAGAUAUAUGGAGGAACAUCAGUGGCGAAGGCGACUAUCUGGCACAUAACUGACGCUGAGGAGCGAAAGCAUGGGUAGCAAACAGGAUUAGAUACCCUAGUAGUC